CGGUGCUGCGGGUGCUGCCG
RNAcentral lists this non-coding RNA (20 nucleotides) under Vibrio phage 1.046.O._10N.286.52.E3. The record is from RNAcentral. Lineage: Duplodnaviria; Heunggongvirae; Uroviricota; Caudoviricetes.